RNAcentral lists this ribosomal RNA (210 nucleotides) under Streptococcus ruminantium. RNAcentral describes it as "partial 16S ribosomal RNA". It matches the Rfam family "Bacterial small subunit ribosomal RNA", at positions 1324 to 1533 of the family's 1533-position model. The record is from RNAcentral. Lineage: Bacteria; Bacillati; Bacillota; Bacilli; Lactobacillales; Streptococcaceae.
AGUCGGAAUCGCUAGUAAUCGCGGAUCAGCACGCCGCGGUGAAUACGUUCCCGGGCCUUGUACACACCGCCCGUCACACCACGAGAGUUUGUAACACCCGAAGUCGGUGAGGUAACCGUUAAGGAGCAGCCGCCUAAGGUGGGAUAGAUGAUUGGGGUGAAGUCGUAACAAGGUAGCCGUAUCGGAAGGUGCGGCUGGAUCACCUCCUUU